UUACAGGUAGACCUCAGCCGAGCUACUCCAUGGCAAGGGAAUUCCGGACGAACUUCUACAACGGGACACUACACUGAUUUUCCACGAUGAUUGGUCCUCGCCCGAGCUCCUACAACAAAUGGCCCCCUUUCGACCACUCGCGAGAAUCGGAUCCCGUCUGAACUCCUCCAGUGGAUAGAUUUUGGAUGAGCUUCUAUGAUGGAUGAGCUCCAGCAGCUGG
Molecule: long non-coding RNA, 220 nt
Filed under: Elaeis guineensis (African oil palm)
Lineage: Eukaryota; Viridiplantae; Streptophyta; Magnoliopsida; Arecales; Arecaceae
Description: long non-coding RNA (EGUI_LNC059483)
Source: RNAcentral